GACGGAGGGAGCAAGCGUUGUCCGGAUUUACUGGGCGUAAAGCGCGCGUAGGCGGCCUUUUAAGUCGGCGGUGAAAGCGCUGGGCUCAACCCAGCAACUGCCGUCGAUACUGAUGGGCUCGAGUCCGGGAGAGGGAAGCGGAAUUCCUGGUGUAGCGGUGGAAUGCGUAGAUAUCAGGAAGAACACCGGUGGCGAAGGCGGCUUCCUGGACCGGCACUGACGCUGAGGCGCGAAAGCUAGGGGAGCGAACGGG
This 253-nucleotide ribosomal RNA is filed under the name uncultured bacterium. RNAcentral's name for it is "partial 16S ribosomal RNA". It matches the Rfam family "Bacterial small subunit ribosomal RNA", at positions 524 to 776 of the family's 1533-position model. The record is from RNAcentral.